Molecule: non-coding RNA, 177 nt
Filed under: Sporomusa malonica
Lineage: Bacteria; Bacillati; Bacillota; Negativicutes; Selenomonadales; Sporomusaceae
Description: Lysine sequence
Rfam family: Lysine riboswitch aptamer
About the family: Riboswitches are metabolite binding domains within certain messenger RNAs that serve as precision sensors for their corresponding targets.
Source: Rfam by way of RNAcentral
UUUUCCGAUAGAGGCGCGGCAGACCAAGAGUAAGUAUGUAGAGCUGGCAGCGAUGACGAUACUGAAAGGGGCUGACCGCCGAAGUGAAAGUUUUGGCCCGGAAACUUUUGCUGGUUUUGCAUUUAAAAGAUGCAAGACUGUCACUUGAAUUGUUUCAGGUGGAGCGCUAUCUUGCAC